This 497-nucleotide ribosomal RNA is filed under the name uncultured bacterium. RNAcentral's name for it is "partial 16S ribosomal RNA". It matches the Rfam family "Bacterial small subunit ribosomal RNA", at positions 28 to 507 of the family's 1533-position model. The record is from RNAcentral.
GAUGAACGCUGGCGGCGUGCCUAAUACAUGCCAGUCGAGCGAACGGACGAGAAGCUUGCUUCUCUGAUGUUAGCGGCGGACGGGUGAGUAACACGUGGAUAACCUACCUAUAAGACUGGGAUAACUUCGGGAAACCGGAGCUAAUACCAGAUAAUAUUUUGAACCGCAUAGUUCAAAAGUAAAAGACGGUCUUGCCGUCACUUAUAGCUGGAUCCGCGCUGCAUUAGCUAGUUGGUAAGGUAACGGCUUACCAAGGCAACGAUGCAUAGCCGACCUGAGAGGAUGAUCGGCCACACUGGAACUGAGACACGGUCCAGACUCCUACGGGAGGCAGCAGUAGGGAAUCUUCUGCAAUGGGCGAAAGCCUGACGGAGCAACGCCGCGUGAGUGAUGAAGGUCUUCGGAUCGUAAAACUCUGUUAUUAGGGAAGAACAUAUGUGUAAGUAACUGUGCACAUCUUGACGGUACCUAAUCAGAAAGCCACGGCUAACUACGUG